AACGCCGCGUGAGCGAUGAAGGCCUUCGGGUCGUAAAGCUCUGUGUUAGGGAAGAACAAGUAUCGGAGUAACUGCCGGUACCUUGACGGUACCUAACCAGAAAGCCACGGCUAACUACGUGCCAGCAGCCGCGGUAAUACGUAGGUGGCAAGCGUUGUCCGGAAUUAUUGGGCGUAAAGCGCGCGCAGGCGGUCCUUUAAGUCUGAUGUGAAAGCCCACGGCUCAACCGUGGAGGGUCAUUGGAAACUGGGGGACUUGAGUACAGAAGAGGAAAGCGGAAUUCCACGUGUAGCGGUGAAAUGCGUAGAGAUGUGGAGGAACACCAGUGGCGAAGGCGGCUUUCUGGUCUGUAACUGACGCUGAGGCGCGAAAGCGUGGGGAGCAAACAGGAUUAGAUACCCUGGUAGUCCACGCCGUAAACGAUGAGUGCUAAGUGUUAGAGGGUUUCCGCCCUUUAGUGCUGCAGCUAACGCAUUAAGCACUCCGCCUGGGGAGUACGGCCGCAAGGCUG
Molecule: ribosomal RNA, 511 nt
Filed under: uncultured Bacillota bacterium
Lineage: Bacteria; Bacillati; Bacillota
Description: bacterial SSU rRNA
Rfam family: Bacterial small subunit ribosomal RNA
Source: RNAcentral